CGCAGCCGCGGUAAUUCCAGCUCCAAUAGCGUAUAUUAAAGUUGUUGCAGUUAAAAAGCUCGUAGUUGAAUUUCGGGGUUAGUAGGUUGGUCAUGCCUCUGGUAUGUACUGGUCUCACUGAUUCCUCCUUCCUGAUGAACCUUAAUGCCAUCAAUUUGGUGUUUUGGGGAAUUUGGACUGUUACUUUGAAAAAUUGGAGUGUUUAAAGCAAGCUAACGCUUGAAUACAUUAGCAUGGAAUAAUGAAAUAGGACGUUCGAUCCUAUUUUGUUGGUUUCUAGGAUUGACGUAAUGAUUAAUAGGGAUAGUUGGGGGCAUUAGUAUUCAAUUGUCAGAGGUGAAAUUCUUGGAUUUAUUGAAGACUAACUACUGCGAAAGCAUUUGCCAAGGAUGUUUUCAUUAAUCAAGAACGAAAGUCAGGGGAUCGAAGACGAUCAGAUACCGUCGUAGU
Molecule: ribosomal RNA, 450 nt
Filed under: uncultured Glomeromycotina
Lineage: Eukaryota; Fungi; Glomeromycota
Description: SSU rRNA
Rfam family: Eukaryotic small subunit ribosomal RNA
Source: RNAcentral